This 2269-nucleotide long non-coding RNA is filed under the name Homo sapiens (human). Its description in RNAcentral is "HSALNT0099529". Lineage: Eukaryota; Metazoa; Chordata; Mammalia; Primates; Hominidae. The record is from RNAcentral.
CUUCGCUCCGCCGCGCUCCCGGCUUAAGCCGGCGGCUCCGGGGUCCUGCCCCGACUUUUCGUACUUUCUCCCUGCUCCGUGCCUAACUCAAUUCUUAACCAAAUCCUGAAAGCACAGGAGUUUGGUUGGGGCUGGGACAGGCGCAGGGACCCAAUUCUCCCCAAGCUCUGCGGGCCACGGCCGAAACCACCCCGGGGAAAGCCGUAGGGGCGCGCCGGCCCACGCGGGACCGAGUUCAGAGGACUCUGCACCGUCAGUUUCAGGGCCGACGUUUAUAGAGCGCUUCCCACGUGCCGCACGCGGUUCUAAGAGCUUGGCUUGUAUUAAUUCGUUUAAUCCUCCCAGCAACACUGUUAGGCAUUAUAAUGAUCCCAAUCGUAGAAGUCAAAAAACCGAGGUGCAGAAACAAAGUAACUUGUUCCAGAUCACGUAGGUGGUAAGUGCAGGGUAUUCUGGAGCAGGAGGGAGGGUGGAAAGCACAGAAAAAAAAAAAUGAACUGGGAAAAGCGUUGACGUGCUUAGUAUUUCAUACUGCAGGUUCCACUUUCAGAGCCAGGCUGCGAGCCUACAGGGUAGAGUAGGGGUGCCGGGCCCCCUGGUGUCCUGGCGUACUCGGGGGGAAGACAGUCGCCGGCCGCCGGGCUCCUGCCACGCUGUGGCGCGCGUGGAAGGUGAGGGUCCUCCGCUGUCCCGCCGCCUCCCACAGGGCGGCCCAGAGCCUGCAUCUUUUGCAAAGGGAACAUAGGAUGGAGAGAAAGAAAGUCCCGCCUGAAAUAAGCAAACGCGGUGGCGGCUUUGCGGUCGGCCACGUCCGCUAGGAACCCGCGAGGCGCCCUUGCGAGCUGCGCAGUCGAGUUUUCUUUCCACUGCACUUUCACGUUCUGCCGGAUGGGAUUUCGGGGGCAGAAGACUCCUCGAAUGCAGACCGGCUGUCUGUGGCUGGACCCCCAGUGCUGCAAAGGAAUCUGAUAUACCUGGAGGAACCAACCUCGAGGUCCAACCAAGGGAAACAUCCCCUCUCCUUCUCCCUCUCCCAGAGCUCCCUCUUUGCAGUGGAGCCCUAGAGAACCAACCCACAGCCCGAAAACACCCGGAGACCAGGGACCCCGGUCCUCAUAGGCAGGCUCACACUUGUAGACAAUGGACCCAUAUUUUCCUCAUUAAAGACAAACCCAAAUCCGCCUAUGAGAGAUUACCCAGGGAAUGAGAGAUCCCAAGUACCGUGAAACUUAGAGGGUGCCUUAAAACUAAAGUGUUUUUAUUGGAUUGAACCAAAAAUAACUAUAAAUGUGUGUAUGUCAGAAUGUUAAUACCUUUUUAUAACCGUUAUUUCACCUUUAUAAUAACUGUGGGAGGGGGCAUCAUUUUUUCUUACUUUUGUUUUCCUGAUCCCCAUUUUACCAUAAAACAGAAACAAGCCCAGAAACAUUAUUAAGUGACUUAAGGUAAUCAGGAGCAGGUGCACUUCUCAGACUGUAAACGAGGGCAAUGUGACCACCGCAUCGCCACUCAUCUGUGCAGGGUGGCGUUGGGGGUGAGGGAAAUGCUAAGAGCACAACAUGGAUUGUUGGGGGGCAAAAACAACAAAUAAAUCAAUAAACAACUAUUUGUGAAAUAUGUGUACGGAGUCCUCGGGGCAGGGGGCUGGAUAUAAAGCCAAACUUAUCUCCCAUGCUCCGUGGUCCACUCCCCAUGACUCCUUCACCUCUCCAGCCUAGUCUGAAAUUCUCCCUCAGGCACUUUCAGAUGAUAUGAAAAAUUCUUCCACAGCUAGCCACUGUCAGGAAAAAAAUGAUUUGGAAACUGUUGUACGGUGCACAUGGACAAUGCAUACCUGCAGAUAUUUUCAAAGGACACGUGCUCUUGUGAUACAUUAUGUUGUCGGGCAUAUAUGGAAGGCAUCCUGGGAUUAACUCUGGUGACUGAAGGAAACAGCACUCCUUUUCACCGUUUACAGCCACUGCGUGUACCCGGCCUGCAGUGAGAGUGGGGGAGGGAACAUUUGCCAGCCUUUCUGGAGAUCCAGCAGCCAGAAGAAAGCCAAGAAACUCAGAGCUGGCACCUCCAGGAGCUCCGGGACAACUUACAAAUGAAGACACAGAGCCCCCGUCCCUUGCUUCAGAGAACCAAAUAACGGAACUGAAUGAUCGUUUCUUCAGCAAAGCCUAAAGACGCUUGCGUCCCGCGGAGAGAGGAUGCUGGAGGACAAAAGAAAUAUUUGGACGUCAGAGCUGAUUUAUAUUUUUGGAAGAGCUACGUUUCCUUUUCU